UGAUAUCCUCUAACAUUGUAAUUAUGGACUUAUGUCUAGCAGCUAAGAUCCAAGAAUUGAAAGUCUCACACAUGUUAUUUUUUACAAUAUCACAUUUGGAAUGUGUUUUGAAAUAUGUCCUACACCAAGAAGUAGGAGGAUUAAUCAGCAUGUCCUCAGUUAUUUCUUUCUUACCUAGCCUUGACAUUGCUUGCAUCUCCUCUCUAAACUUUACUUCAAAGCUUGCUUUUGCAAAUCUCCAAAACUGUUUCCUUCUCUU
RNAcentral lists this long non-coding RNA (259 nucleotides) under Capsicum annuum. RNAcentral describes it as "long non-coding RNA (CANN_LNC002362)". Lineage: Eukaryota; Viridiplantae; Streptophyta; Magnoliopsida; Solanales; Solanaceae. The record is from RNAcentral.